Molecule: transfer RNA, 72 nt
Filed under: Datura stramonium (jimsonweed)
Lineage: Eukaryota; Viridiplantae; Streptophyta; Magnoliopsida; Solanales; Solanaceae
Description: tRNA-Lys
Rfam family: tRNA
About the family: Transfer RNA (tRNA) molecules are approximately 80 nucleotides in length.
Source: RNAcentral
ACGUUCAUUGUCUAAUGGAUAGUAUAAAGGUCUUUUAAACCUUUGGUACAGGUUCAAAUCCUAUUGGACGCG